AAUCUUUUUGUUCUCUUCUCAUUGAAUCAAUGUGCUGUUUUCAUUUUACAUAAUAAACACAUUCACUGAGGAACCCAGAGUUAUUCAGCCUUGGCAUCACCCCUCCCCAUCACGGUUUAGCACAAUGUCCUCAAAGAUAAUUCUUUUUUAAAAACCUGCCUUGUAUACUCUCCCUUUUGCCUUUUUGGAGUAUUAUAUAUCUAAGUGACAAGAGUCUUACAAAUAUUUAGGAAGAUAAACACUCUACCUCUGUUCAGUACAACAGAAGCAUUCAUACAUCAUUUAUCAAUCCCCCUGUUCACCUGUCUGGUUCCAGGGAGAACAAUAACCCCUGAAUGGGCUCAGUACAUUGUGGCUGAUUACUGUCCAGGGCACCAUUAUUGGUGAUCUUCUCUUGUCAUUGGUUUAGAGGUGUCAGGGAGAAUACUGGUCCAAAAACAGGGCUACUGUGGCAAGGCCAAUAAUCAUUAUAUAUGUUACUGUUCACUUGCAAGCUGAUAAAUAUUAUAUUAAGAUUGAAAAAUAGUUCUGGAAAUAAUUUUCAAAUAAAUAUAUGGUUAAUCAUUUUCUGCAUGAUUUCACUUUAAAAAUUAGGUGGAAUAUUAUUUUUACAAAUAAUUUAUGGUAUUUUAAACAUUUUUAAUGGUCAACUCUCAAAAUCCAAAUCAAAUCAUCAGAAAGUAGAAAUUGGGUAAACCUAAUUCCAUAAGUCUCCUAAUUAAAAUGUAAAACGCCUAGGCACCAAUUGCCCCUGUUUUCAUAUGAAAACAAAUUGGCUGUCUUUUUUUUUCUCCUCAGUGAAUUCAUCAAAUUGGAACUAAAUUACUUGCUUGAUCAUUAUAUGUGCAUCACUUACAUUACACAGAAGUGUCAUUCAUGAGUCAGUUUUCAGAGAAUGGAGUAGACUUUGCUUUGUGGAACUGCUGUCAGUUUUGCUGCCCCUCAUAUUUAGCAUGGCACUUAGCUGCCAUUGUCAACAGUGUCAAUCCAAAUGGCAUUAGUUAUGGAGAUGAAGAUGGAGAAGGACUAAUGGGAAAUAUUCACUAGAUCAGGGGCCAGCUCAGAGGGAGCUAGGGAGUGGCUCCAUCCAUAAUCUGUGCAUCCCCUUCUUCAAUACCACUAACCCUACCCUCUAAAGAUUGUGGUUUUUACAUAGCAUAAAAUAGAAUAAAUUUAUAUCAUUGGUUUUAAGGAGUAACCAUGGCAAAGUGCCUUUUUUCUGUCUUUGCAUUCUCUCUCAGAUGUGGGAUUCAGAGAUGAUUUUGCACUUGCUUGACAAAAGAAGCAUUCCUCCACCCCCACUAGUGCAUCUCUGAGUAACGAAUGAUCACCUUUCCAUGACAUCUUUUCCUCUUCAAGUACAGUCUAUAUUAAAAUCCUGCUUUACACAACCUUUGCAUGGCUCUGCAUAUGAAAUACUAAAACAUCAUCAGUUUUAAUGAGUCAACCUAGUACUUGAAGAAUUUAUAUUUAUGGCCCAUAGACUAGCUACCCUCCAACAUGAGCUAGAUGAUGCAUUUCUAGGACUUUAAAUUAAUCCUUUUCAUUACAGGAGUAGGUACCCAUGAAAAUGAAUAGAAAUUGCUGAUCUCAUUAAAGGCUGAAUUGAAACCAAUUCUAAUGGUGGCAGUAGCUACAACCUGUGAUAAUUUCCCUAGCUGCUAUAUGAGUUAAAUCCUAUAAUUACUUUUAAAAAAUCUAAAUAGCAUAAUUUUAGGUUGCAUUGUAUUUUUUAUGUGUAUAUUUGUAUGUGUGUUGGAGGACUAAGUAUAGAGAUGUAUUUAAAUAAGCUUGAAAUUUAAUUGGGUUGGCUUGGAUUUUACAUUCAUAAGGCUUUAUAUAUGUCUUUUUACAGACAGAACUUUUUUCUUGUAAUUCCUUUUGAUUCUCAUUCUCAUUUUGAGAGACUGAUCCUUAGAUUAUGACUCUGGACUCUUGUUAUAAAUGCAUACUAUGCUAGAGGGCUAUUUUUACGCUCACAGACUCAAAUCAUUCUGGGAGUUUAAUUUCUCUUCCAGAGUUUGAAACAAAAUUUUAAAUUUAAAAAGAUGAAGACAUUUGUCCUUGCCCUAGGGCCUUGAUUUAAGGUUUAGACAGAAGGUUAAAUAUCAAAACUUUAAUAUAAAUCAAGUGCAUGCAUUUCUGAACAAAGGUCUGGCACCAUCUGCACAGGGCAUUAAUUCCUUUAGCUGGAGGGCUGGAGAGUCUGUUUACAAAAGAAUACACAAUUUAGACAGAACAAGUGCUCUUCUAUGAACUAGAAGAAAAGAGUCAUGUUCAUUUGUCAUCAAAAGCAAACUGUUUCCCUUUUGGUAAGUUAAUGCCCUCCCUUAAAAGGAGAUUAGUCCUGGAAAGUAGAGAAAUUGGAGCCGGCAGGCAGCAUCCCAGAGUAGACACAGAUUUGAAAUUCUUUAAAAGCCUGUGAGUUCAAACUCACUCAGAAUGUCUUCACAACAUCACCAGAGAAUACUGGUAUAUCCAUGUUAUCCAGCAGUUUUAUUUUAGAAUCAUCGUCACAUAACUUUUCAUAGUAACAGGCUGUAUGUAAAUAGACAUCAAUUCUCAGUAGCCAGGCAGUGUGGAAAACUUGGUUAAUGCAGUAAGAAAGCAAGCCCAAAGACCACAAGAGAAAGAAAUUAAUCUUAAGAUAUGACAAGAAGGAUCAUUCCUUGAUUUUAGCUAAUGCCUGUCUUCUAAAAGAUGACCCUGGUUUCUUUAAUAACUUACCCUCAAAAUUAGAUGCAAUGGGUAAUUAUCUUGAUAGAGAAUUUAAAUUCAGCCUUUGAUUCCUCUCAUAGAUGAAUCUCACACUAUGAACACAAGGAUAAUAAUAGGCCAAGGAGCAUUUAAAUAUUUAUACAGAUCAUACUUCAAGUUAUAUUUGGAAACUUUACAAACCUGGUAGAAUGUUUCUCUUCUCACUGCAAAUAAUUUCUAGGACUUUAAAAGUGAAUAUGUUAGUACAGAAAAGCAGCGUAAAAGCCCAGUGACCUUAGAGCUUUGAAUAAAGACAAUUCUAUUAAACAUUCAUUUAUAAGCCAAAAUCAGGGAAUUGGCAGAGGAUAACAACAUGCACCAUACAUAAAUUGAAAACUGUUUCAGGUAUUAUAAUGCAAUAAAAUAUACAUACUACUGAUACUAUUUAAAGCAUUUUAAUAUUUCUUUAAUAGCUUUGAAGUCCCUUAGAAAACUAGCAUUAAUUUAGGAUCUUCAUUAAUAGCAUUACAAUCUUGGGGAGAAAAAUGAGUGGUGAAACUUUCUGGCUAUUUGGAUUUAGGACAAAAAUCUGAUUGUUAGGUUAAUUUGUUUUAUAUCAACCAAGGAUUUAUACUUCCUUUCAGUGAGGUAGCCUAAGGUGUAUUAUUGGAAAUAUGAUACUGCUGAACUCAUUUUUACAUAGUUCUGAUUUUAAAAAAACAAAAAAAUAUAGUCUAGGGAGACAUAUACUUAUAGAUGGAAAAGCAAUUAACAAAAAAGGAAUGCAGAUUGAAAAGACGUAAUGUGAUAUGAAAUUUAAAAAAUAAAAAAGAGAACACUAUUAGAUUUGGUUCAACUCUGGCCUGAAAGCAGCUACCUUUGUGGUUUGGAAAACAUAACUGAGUCAGUUUCUGUAUCGGUGAAACAUAACUCACAGUACAUUUGUUUGUUACAGGUGUUAAAGGAGACCGUCUACAUCAAGGGCUUGGGAUAAUAGUGCUCGUGCUCUGUUUCCACUCUCACUGCCCGUUUAGGUGACAGAAAGGUCAAAGUGCAACUGUUCUUCUCAUCCCAGACUAUUUUAAAGGCCUCAGAAGAGAGAUUUCUCCAUUUCUCACUUUCUGGGUGUUGCUUGUGGGAGAGAUGCCAGCCAGUAGCCUAUCCUUCACCCCUCGGUGGAUCAAAACAGACCUUAUGUGAUUCAGCCUGUAGUUCACUUUGAAGUUUGAAUCAACAUUAUGAAAGCAUUGAUAAUACACAGAUGGGUAUUACUGAAACUGAAAAUGCGGGUGAGUGCUACAUUGGGCAGUCUCUCCUGAAAAUAGCCAUCUUCACUGUCUACAGUUCUCUUCAUUUGUUGUGCCUAAAAAGAUACAUCUGCAAUGUCUUGCUGAUUCUCUGCUUGACCUCCGUUGUUAUUUCUACAAUUUUUGUAUUGUUGUUUCAAGCCUGUAUAGUUUCUUAUGAAUUUAUACAUUUAAACUUUAAUUUUUUCCUAGACCGUUUUGGCAGUCUUUUGGCUUCUGCUGUAGUAUAACCACUUUCUGCUAUGAAUCUUCCUUGCCAACUGCUAUUACUUCUCCCAUAUUCAUAAUGGUUAUUCAAUAAACUGAUAGUAAAAAGCACUUGUUGGGUAACUAAUAUAGUCGAUUAGUUUUUAGCCUUGCCCUGGUCAAUCAAGGCUACUUUCUAAGAAGAAAUGUCAAAAUACAUUAAUUUUGGAUUUAUAUACAAGGAAAAUUAAAUUAACACCUUGUAGAGAUAUCUGCACUUCAUAACUGCAGUGUUUUUACAAUAGCUAAGUAAUGGAAACAAAUGUCUGUCUGUCAACAGAUGACUGGAUGAACACAUUUUGUUCUAUAUACACAUGCACACACACACACAUAAUGGAAUAUUAUUCAGCUUUUAAAAAUGAGAACUUGUCACUUGUGAGGAUAGGUAUUAAUUAAAGAAUGUUAUGCUAAAUGAAAUCAGCCAGACAUAGAGAAAUAAUAUAUGAUCUUUUUAAGAAGUGAAAUCUAAAAAAUAAAGGUCAAAGAAGUUGAAUACAUAGAAACAGAAUAGAAUGGUGAUUACAAAGGUAUUGUGAGGGUGGGAAAGGGGAUACUUAGACCAGUGGAUUCAAAUUUGAAAUUAUGUAGAGUUAAUAAAUCUAAAGAUCGAAAGUACUGCAUGAGGACUAAGGUAAUAAUAUUAUACUAUAUGCAGAAAUUUUUCUAAGAAAGUAUUUUAGGUGCUUUUACCACACACACAAAAUGGUAUCUAUGAGAAAUUUGGAUACAUGUAUUAAAUUUUUCUCCUGUAUUACUCAUAUAAACAUAUAUACACAUACACAUGUCUCAAAACAUCAUGUUGUGCAUUCUCAUUUAUACUAUAAAAAAGAAAUGUAAAAAUAAAGCUUAAGUAUUAAAAAGAAAAGGAAAAAGUAAAUGAGAGAGAGGGAGAGGAGAGGAGGAAACAGAGAGAGAGACAGAGAGAGAGAGAGAGAGAGAGAGAGAGAGAGAGAGAAUUAUAUGCCUGCCUAAAACUUUAUGGGAAGAUAAACAAGAUUUGUUGUAAUAGACUUCUAUCCACCUCUAACAGAUCCAACAUCAAACCUUAACACAGUGAUGGUGAACCUUUUAGAGCUUUCAAUGACAACAAGAAGCAAACUGUGGCAUGUGUGCCAUAGCAUAACAUCUACCAAAUUUCCAACUGCUGAAAAACACCUUCCCAACCUUCUAGCCUCUAGUGUAAUCUCUUCCUUCCAUUUUCCCCAUAAUUUUGCAUUACAAUAAUGAAAAGAUAUACUUGGACUUACAGAGUGCUCCUCACCAUGGAAAAGGAAGAAACUUAGCAGGCAUGUCCUUCCCUCUUCAGUGGCAAGGGGACAGGAAAGCUGGAAUUAUUUUCUUAUUUUUAUUUUUAUUUUCAUAUCUACAAGCUUCAGGUAACAAAUUGGGGAAAGACAGACUAGAACACAAGUGGUAUAAUAGAAAAUGGGUAUUGUCAAUUGGUUACUGAAGAAACUUCAUAAAGUUGAGGCUCAGAGAAAACAUUGUUUUAUUAACACUGAGUGACUUUAUCUCUGAUGGAAAUUAAUUUUGGAGAAUAAAAGGUAUGAAUCUAAGCUUAUACUGUUGUUGAGUAGAAUUUACUCCUUUUAGUAGAGGAUGCUAGAUAUUUGCUGUUUGGAG
This 5873-nucleotide long non-coding RNA is filed under the name Heterocephalus glaber (naked mole-rat). RNAcentral's name for it is "lncRNA (ENSHGLG00100049962.1)". Lineage: Eukaryota; Metazoa; Chordata; Mammalia; Rodentia; Bathyergidae. The record is from RNAcentral.